Long non-coding RNA from Homo sapiens (human), 1688 nucleotides. RefSeq lists it as uncharacterized. Lineage: Eukaryota; Metazoa; Chordata; Mammalia; Primates; Hominidae. The record is from RefSeq and is a predicted model, not a curated record. The transcript has 3 exons.
GGACCCCGCCCCGCCCUCGCGCUCCCCGGCCCUGGCCGGGGUCUCCUCCCCGCUGCGCCCCUGGACCCGGGCGGCCGCGGAGGACGUGGGUGGGAGAGGGCCGAGGGCGCGCCCGGCUGGGCUCCCGCCGAUGCCGGCCCCCUGGUGGCCUCUGGCCCUCUGGGACCCAGCGCACCGCGAGGGAGGCUCCGGGCUCCGCACUCAAGGGCAAGCGGAAGCCGAGGUGGCGGCGCCGGAGCCAGGCAUGUCCCGCUGCCCAGCGCGGGGCUGAGGGCGCAGACGGGGACCGCGCGAGCCGCUCUCUACCUGGCCUCCUCGGAGUCCAGGGCGCGGAGGGUACUGGGCUGCGGAUCCGGCGCAGGCGGCCCCGGACGCUGCUAGGCGCGGGCGGAUUUCUGUUGCACAAAUGGGCCAAACAGAAGGACCGCCUCCAUGAACCGGUUCUGCAAAUGUCAUUUGUACAUCUUGAGGAUGGUUGAAAGAGCGAAGGCAAAGAAGAUGCAAAGAAGACAGCUGUCACACAAACAAGCAGGAUGCCACCUUCUUCCUGGGGACCAGAAGCCAGGAAAAAAUCAUGGGGAAGGUUUCAGAGACAUCAGUGGAAUAAGAUUUUGAAGCCCAUAGAAUAUUUUUUUCUUUUUGGAAGUUAUUUUAUUUUGUUUUUCUAAGUAAAACCUAAUAGAAUCCCAAAAUGGGAGAGAUGAAAACAUUUCCUUCCAGCCCUGCAGAGUUAAAGUAAACAGCAGGGAAACAGGAGGGAGGUCUAGGCCCUGCAUAUCACCUCGGAGGUUCCCUGCACCACCCACCGCCCACGCUGCCAGAACUUCUUUCCAAAGCAAUUGCCAAUCAGACCAACUCCUUUCUGAACACUCGCCAGCUGCGCGAUGAUGAGGCCCUGAAUGAAAGCCGUGCCAGCGAGGACCCAGAGAAGGAAUCAGCAGUGUGACACCUGACUCAGUGCAGGGUGAGGAGCAGGAGGGUGUGAGAGUGGCUCCCCCUGUUCUGUGAGACUGGGGAGAGCCUGGAAAGUCUGUGCUCAGAGAUGAGGAGCCCUCUGGGAUGCACCAUGGGCCAAGAGGUUGGCGAAGACGUGCUGACCUGGAGGGCUCCAAGGUCACCUGGAAAGACUUAUCCUCUUCACAAUUGAAAACUUCAGCCAGGAGUUCAGGAGCAAGGUCUUGGAUGGAGCCACAGAACUGAAAUUAACACAAAAAUCGAGAGUGGCAGCUGUCCGUAGUGAUUGUGAUCAAAGAUGUGGGUGGGAUCGCCCAAGGCAAGCACAGAGUGGGAAGAGGAGAGGCCACUCAUGGAAUCAAGUGACGGGAAGUGAGGCUCCCAGCGAAAGACAGAGCGAGGUACACUGGGCCCACAGGCCGCCUGGGCAGCCAGGAGCAUGCUUGUCUGAUAAAGGCUGUUAUUACUGUUAUUUUUGUUAUCAGUGUGUUACUGUAGCAUAUCUGGAAAAUACUGCGGAGCAUUAUGAGUCAGAACCCCUCAGGGAGAAGCAGUGCUAACCUUUCGGUGACCUCUGUACAAUCAUUUUUUCUCCUCACUUCUCUCUCUCUCUAACGUGUAUACGUGUGUAUGUGUGUGUGUGUGUGUGUGUAGUAUGAAUAAUAUAUUGCAUCUUGUAAUACAGUAUUACAUUUUAUAUUAAAUUGCAUUUUCUAAUAAAUAGCUUUAAUGCA